GGCCAGCCCCUGGCUCACAGCCCACCAAGUUCCACCUGCUCACAGGUUGGCUGGCUCAACCAAGGUGGUAGCCCCUGCUCUGCGCAUCCAGGCCGAGUCCAUCCUGCACCAUGGCUAGAUACAGAUGCUGCCGCAGCCAAAGCAGGUGCCGCCGCCAGCGACGAAGAUGUCGCAGGCGAAGGAGGCGAUGUGUCCGAAGGCGGAGAGUGUGCUGCCGCCGCUACACUGUUGUGAGGUGUAGACGACGACGAUAAUGCACGCGAUAGCAAGUCCACCACACUCCUGCCUGAAAUGUCACCAGCCUUCAAGACCCUCUUGCCACAUCUUGAAAGUGCCACCAUCCCAAUGAAAUGAACAGGAGCCUGCUAGCGAACAAUGCCACCUGUCAAUAAAUGUUGAGGACAUAACCGCA
Non-coding RNA from Ceratotherium simum simum (southern white rhinoceros), 412 nucleotides. NCBI's taxonomy places the organism in Eukaryota, Metazoa, Chordata, Mammalia, Perissodactyla, Rhinocerotidae. The record is from RefSeq and is a predicted model, not a curated record.